This 930-nucleotide ribosomal RNA is filed under the name Leucauge celebesiana. RNAcentral's name for it is "SSU rRNA". It matches the Rfam family "Eukaryotic small subunit ribosomal RNA", at positions 754 to 1710 of the family's 1831-position model. The record is from RNAcentral. Lineage: Eukaryota; Metazoa; Arthropoda; Arachnida; Araneae; Tetragnathidae.
ACUUUGAAAAAAUUAGAGUGCUCAAAGCAGGCGCGACGCCUGGAUAAUGGUGCAUGGAAUAAUGGAAUAGGACCUCGGUUCUAUUUUGUUGGUUUUAGGAACACGAGGUAAUGAUUAAGAGGGACAGACGGGGGCAUUCGUAUUGCGACGCUAGAGGUGAAAUUCUUGGACCGCCGCACGACGAACUACUGCGAAAGCAUUUGCCAAGAAUGUUUCCAUUAAUCAAGAACGAAAGUUAGAGGUCCGAAGGCGAUCAGAUACCGCCCUAGUUCUAACCAUAAACGAUGCCAGCCAGCGAUCCGGCUGUGUUCCUCAAAUGACACGCCGGGCAGCUUCCGGGAAACCAAAGCUUUUGGGUUCCGGGGGGAGUAUGGUUGCAAAGCUUGAACUUGAAGGAAUUGACGGAAGCGCACACAAGGAAUGGGGCCUGCGGUUUAAUUUGACUCAACACGGUGCAACUCUCCUGGCCCGGACACAGGAAGGAUUGACAGAUUGAGAGCUCUUUCUUAAUUCUGUGAUAGGUGGUGCAUGGCCGUUUCUGGUUGGUGGAGUGAUUUGUCUGCUUUAUUGCGAUAACGAGCGAGACUCUAGCCUACUAAAUAGACGUUGCGAUCCUUCUGAGUCGCACGUUCUUCUUAGAGGGACAGGCGGUGUUCAGCCGCACGAAACAGAGCAAAAACAGGUCAGGAUGCCCUUAGAUGUUCGGGGCCACACGCGCGCCACAUUGAAGGAAUCAGCGUGUGCUUUCCCUGUCCGACAGGACUGGGUAACCCGUUGAAACUCCUUCGUGCUGGGGAUAGGGGUUUGUAAUUUUCCCCCUUGAACGAGGAAUUCCCAGUAAGCGCGAGUCAUCAGCUCGUGUUGAUUACGUCCCUGCGCUUUGUACACACCGCCCGUCGCUAUUAUCGAUGAAUUUUGGAGUGAGAUCUU